Electrophorus electricus (electric eel) is the source of this 602-nucleotide long non-coding RNA. RefSeq lists it as uncharacterized. The record is from RefSeq and is a predicted model, not a curated record. Lineage: Eukaryota; Metazoa; Chordata; Actinopteri; Gymnotiformes; Gymnotidae.
ACAAAAUCUGGGAAAAAUAAAAUGAAGAGGAAAGUAAAAGGCAACCAAAGCUAAAGGAAAUGAUGAGGUGCACUCUGGCAGUCUGAGGUGACAGACAGCACCAAAUGGAAGAUAACAUGCACAUUUCAGCAGUUGGCAUGGGACUGUUUUCAUUUUCCGCUCAACAUAGUUUGCAGCUUUUGGACUUCCCUGGGCCGGGAUCCAUUCAUUCACUCAACAUGGCUUGCCACUUCACCAGCUGUGCUUCACUAUGGUUAGGGUUCCUGAAUAUGACUGCUUGUUUUGUCAUGGUUUUUUUUGAAGUGUUUGAUGAAGUAUUGAGUCUAGUGUUUGAUUGUGUUUAGUGUUUGAUUUUGUGUUUAGUGUUUAAUUAUGUGCUCACACUGUGCUCACACUGUGCCCUGUUCUUGACAAUAUCUGGGGAUGUAGCAUGGCAAAUUUGACCAUUUUUGCCACUUCAAUUGCAGUGGAGUCACACAUGUAACUUUGCUUGCACAUUUUUGACUAAAGACAUAACUCAAUCAUCCCAGUGCUCUUGUUCUUCUUACCUGUUAAGACCAUACCUCAAAGCUAACUACUACAGUGCAUGUACUGUAUUUGAA